UGGGGAAUAUUGCACAAUGGGCGCAAGCCUGAUGCAGCCAUGCCGCGUGUAUGAAGAGGGCCUUCGGGUUGUAAAGUACUUUCAGCGAGGAGGAAGGCAUUAAGGUUAAUAACCUUAGUGAUUGACGUUACUCGCAGAAGAAGCACCGGCUAACUCCGUGCCAGUAGCCGCGGUAAUACGGAGGGUGCAAGCGUUAAUCGGAAUUACUGGGGCGUAAAGCGCACGCAGGCGGUCUGUUUAAGUCAGAUGUGAAAUCCCCGGGCUCAACCUGGGAACUGCAUUUGAAACUGGCAGGCUUGAGUCUUGUAGAGGGGGGGUAGAAUUCCAGGUGUAGCGGUGAAAUGCGUUAGAGAUCUGGAGGAAUACCGGUGGCGAAGGCGGCCCCCUGGACAAAGACUGACGCUCAGGUGCGAAAAGCGUGGGGGAGCAAACA
Molecule: ribosomal RNA, 433 nt
Filed under: uncultured Raoultella sp.
Lineage: Bacteria; Pseudomonadati; Pseudomonadota; Gammaproteobacteria; Enterobacterales; Enterobacteriaceae
Description: bacterial SSU rRNA
Rfam family: Bacterial small subunit ribosomal RNA
Source: RNAcentral